RNAcentral lists this ribosomal RNA (292 nucleotides) under uncultured bacterium. Its description in RNAcentral is "partial 16S ribosomal RNA". RNAcentral also lists the same sequence under 1 other name. The record is from RNAcentral.
GGACUACUCGGGUAUCUAAUCCCGUUUGCUCCCCUGGCUUUCGUGCCUCAGCGUCAGGAAAUGUCCAGAGACUCGCCUUCGCCACUGGUGUUCCACUUGAUAUCUACGCAUUUCACUGCUACACCAAGUAUUCCAGUCUCCCCUCCAUUCCUCGAGUAAGAUAGUAUCCACUGCAGUUUCCGAGUUAAGCUCGGAGAUUUCACAACAGACUUACCUUACCGCCUACGCACCCUUUACGCCCAGUGAAUCCGAACAACGCUUGGGACCUCUGUAUUACCGCGGCUGCUGGCAC